RNAcentral lists this ribosomal RNA (276 nucleotides) under uncultured bacterium. RNAcentral's name for it is "partial 16S ribosomal RNA". It matches the Rfam family "Bacterial small subunit ribosomal RNA", at positions 1108 to 1382 of the family's 1533-position model. The record is from RNAcentral.
UCCUUAGUUGCCAGCACGUAAAGGUGGGAACUCUAAGGAGACUGCCGGUGACAAACCGGAGGAAGGUGGGGAUGACGUCAAGUCAUCAUGGCCCUUACGGCCAGGGCUACACACGUACUACAAUGGUCGGUACAGAGGGUUGCAAUACCGCGAGGUGGAGCCAAUCCCAGAAAGCCGAUCCCAGUCCGGAUCGGAGUCUGCAACUCGACUCCGUGAAGUCGGAAUCGCUAGUAAUCGCGGAUCAGCUAUGCCGCGGUGAAUACGUUCCCGGGCCUU